UGUUCGUAAGUUAUGUGCUCAUUUGGGUAAAACUACAAAAUAAACCGAGAGAGAAUCAAAUAUUUUGGUCAAGCUACAAAGGGUUUAUGAAGGAUGACUUNNNNNNNNNNNNNNNNNNNNNNNNNNNNNNNNNNNNNNNNNNNNNNNAUGAAUUCAAUAGUCGCAGGGCAGCGAUACCAGGAGAAUUGAAACAUCUAAGUACCCUGAGGAAAAGAAAUCACAGAGAUUCCCCCAGUAGCGGCGAGCGAAAAGGGAAGAGCCUAAACCUGAUAAGAUUUCGCAAGAAAUUUUAUCAGGGGUUGCGGGACCUCGAUGUGGCAGAUGGAUGGAUAGCAGAAAUGUAUGGGAAGACAUACCAAAGAGAGUGAAAGUCUCGUACGCGAAAUUCUGAAGUCGCCUAGGGGUAUCCCAAGUACUACGGGGCACGUGGAAUCCUGUAGGAAUCUGGGCCGACCACGGUCUAAGGCUAAAAACUACACCUAAACCGAUAGUGCACAAGUACCGUGAGGGAAAGUUGAAAAGAACGCUGGUGAAGCGAGUGAAAUAGAACCUGAAAUCAUAAACCUACAAGCGGUGGGAGGGCUAUACCAUCUGCGCAAGCUUGAUGGAAUGCCUGACCGCGUACCUUUUGCAUAAUGGACCGACGAGUUACUGUGCGGUGCGAGCUUAACCCUUGACGGAAACGUCAAGGGGAAGGCGUAGCGAAAACGAGUCCUAACUGGGCGUUUAGUACCGUAUAGUAGACCCGAAGCUGAGUGAUCUACUCAUGGCCAGAGUGAAGCUCUCCGAAAGGAGAGUGGAGGCUCGAACCCAUCAGUGUUGAAAAACUGCGGGAUGAGCUGUGAGUCGGAGCGAAAGACUAAACAAACUCAGAAAUAGCUGGUUCUCCCCGAAAUAUUUCUAGGGAUAGCCUCGGGUAAUUAAAUAGUAGGGGUAGAGUGCUGAAUGGGUUACAGGGCCUUACUAGGCCGCUGAACCCAACCAAACUCCGAAUACUACUAUUCUUAUCCCGGGAGUAAGACGCUGGGGGCUAAGCUCCGGCGUCAAGAGGGUAUCAGCCCAGACCAUCAGCUAAGGUCCCUAAGAAUAGGCUAAGUGGUAAAGGAUGUGAUCUCGCAUUGACAACCAGGAUGUUGGCUUAGAGGCAGCCAUCAUUUAAAGAGUGCGUAACAGCUCACUGGUCGAGCGACCUCGCGCCUAAGAUAAUCGGGGCUUAAGCCUAUUACCGAAGCUAUGGGUUUAUGCUACUUCGGUAGCGUAAGCGGUAGGGGAGCAUACUCUGACGAGUGAAGGCGUACCGUGAGGAGCGCUGGACGUCAGAGUAGAGAUUAUGUCGGUAUGAGUAGCGAAAACACCUGCGAGAAACAGGUGCACCGAAAGUCUAAGGUUUCCUGGGGAAGGUUAAUCCGCCCAGGGUUAGUCGAGCCUAAGCUGAGGCCGUAUGGCGUAAGCGAUGGAUAAUCCGUUAAUAUUCGGAUACCAGUUAGGUGGCGUUAAAACUUUUUGUAUGACGCGUGGCGUGUUUAGGCCGGCGCAGUGUUGGAUGUCUGCGUUCUUUCCGCCGAAAGACGGGGAGGGGAGCUCAAGCGUAUGCGCGAGUGAAGUGUUCUAAAACGUGCUGCCAAGAAAAGUAUAAAGAGGAGUUGCUUAACUGUUCGUACCGGAAUCCGACACAGGUAGACCUCCAGAGAAUGGUAAGGUGCUCGAGAUAACUCUCGUUAAGGAACUCGGCAAAUUAGCCUCGUAAGUUAGCGAUAAGAGGUGCCCUUCAUCGAAAGGUGACAGGGUCUGUAGUAAAGUGGCCCGGGUGACUGUUUAGUAAAAACACAGCACUCUGCAAACUCGAAAGAGGACGUAUAGGGUGUGAUACCUGCCCGGUGCUGGAAGGUUAAGGGGAGGGGUUAGCGAGUCGUAAGAUUUGCGAAGCCUCAAACUGAAGCCCCAGUAAACGGCGGCCGUAACUAUUGUUUGGACCACAGUAGUUGUAAAAUCUGGCUAUAUGCUGGAAAAUCCUGUUAGGCUAACAGUACUCUUGCCUAUAUGGCGAGAUGUGACAAUCUGUUAGAUAGGGAUAAUCAGCAGGAAAGACCUGAAGGGAGGUCUCCAUGAAAGCAGAAAUAGGCUAUUACUUAGCAGGUUUUGCCGACGGAGAAGGAAGUUUCAAUGUUUCCUUUAGGCCUCGGCAAGAUUAUAAAUCACCGUGGAAAAUUUCUCUCCGUUUCAAUAUUUCCCAGAAAGACAAAGUUAUUCUAGCUUUAUGCAAACACCAUUUAGGAUGUGGAACAUUAAGAAGUAGGCCAGAUGGCGUUUGGUAUUAUGAAGUAAAUAACUUUAACGCGAUUUGGGAAAAAGUGAUACCCUUCUUUAAGAAAUAUAAUUUUCUCUCUGCAAAAAAGAAACGUGAUUUUGCAAAGUUUUGCGAAAUCGCAAGGAUAAUAAGGAGAGAAGAACACCUUAAAGAAAGUGGUAUCAGAAAGAUUAUUGAGAUAAGAAGAGAGAUGAACGACGGUGGAAAGCGAAAGUAUAGCGAAAAAGAGAUUCUAACUAAGAUUCAGGAAUCCUCAGAGACUACACGCCAGAUUCCAAUGCAAAUUGGAGAUGAUAUAGUCCGGUCUUCCGAGAAAUCGGAAGUUAACAUAAACGAACGGUCCUAAGGUUUUGAGAAUUUCA
This 2670-nucleotide ribosomal RNA is filed under the name Candidatus Omnitrophica bacterium CG23_combo_of_CG06-09_8_20_14_all_40_11. RNAcentral's name for it is "bacterial LSU rRNA". The stretch from base 67 to 2146 matches the Rfam family "Bacterial large subunit ribosomal RNA". Lineage: Bacteria; Pseudomonadati; Candidatus Omnitrophota. The record is from RNAcentral.